CAAGAGGCUGUUUUAACUUUCAAAUCAAAAAAUAUUGUUUGGAAAAUAGACACAUUUAAAUUUUUAACAAGCUAAGCUGUUGCUUGGUAAUGUUUUGUGGCUCGUACUCAGUUUGUUAAAUACUUGGGUUGGCUCAGUGCUUUAAAUUGUGGCCAGGGAAAUCAGACCUUGCACAGACUGGGGGGAUUUUGUACUACAUAUGAAUAGUACAGAAAUAGUGAUGGCUUCUUAGAUUUUCCUGCACUAAUAAAUACUAAUUUCCUUUUUUAUCAUAUAUGGAGGGAAAUAUAACUUUAAGACUAUGGAAGUCAUCAAUC
RNAcentral lists this long non-coding RNA (317 nucleotides) under Bos taurus (domestic cattle). RNAcentral describes it as "long non-coding RNA NONBTAT021726". Lineage: Eukaryota; Metazoa; Chordata; Mammalia; Artiodactyla; Bovidae. The record is from RNAcentral.